AGCGAACGCUGGCGGCAGGCCUAACACAUGCAAGUCGAACGAACCUUUCGGGGUUAGUUGCGGUCGGGUGAGGAACACGGGGGAACGUUCCGUUAGGUACGGAAUACUUCAGUUAAGCUUGUGCUAAUACCGAAUGUGCCCUUCGGGGAAAAGAUUAAUCGCCUUUAGAGCGGCCCGGGUCUGUUUAGCUAGUUGGUUGUGGUAAUGGCUCACCAGGGCGACGAUCAGUAGCUGGUCGGAGAGGAUGAUCAGCCACAUUGGGACUGAGACACGGCCCAAACUACUACGCGAGGCAGGAGUGGCGGAUCUAGCGCAAUGGGGGAAGGCCUGAAGCCGCCAUGGCGCGUGAAUGAUGAAGGUGUUAGGAUAGUGAAAUUCUUUAACCGGGGGCGAUAAUGACGGUACCCGGAGAAGAAGCACCGGCUAACUUCGUG
This 434-nucleotide ribosomal RNA is filed under the name uncultured bacterium. Its description in RNAcentral is "partial 16S ribosomal RNA". It matches the Rfam family "Bacterial small subunit ribosomal RNA", at positions 29 to 507 of the family's 1533-position model. The record is from RNAcentral.